GGGUCCCUACGGGAGGCAGCAGUAGGGAAUUUUCGUCAAUGGGCGCAAGCCUGAACGAGCAAUGCCGCGUGAACGAGGAAGGUCUUCGGACCGUAAAGUUCUGUUGAAGGGGAAAAAGAGCGGAGAGAGGAAAUGCUUUCUGAUUGAUAUUACCCUUCGAGGAAGUCACGGCUAACUACGUGUCAGCAGCCGCGGUAAUACGUAGGUGGCGAGCGUUAUCCGGAAUGAUUG
Molecule: ribosomal RNA, 231 nt
Filed under: uncultured bacterium
Lineage: Bacteria
Description: partial 16S ribosomal RNA
Rfam family: Bacterial small subunit ribosomal RNA
Source: RNAcentral